This 253-nucleotide ribosomal RNA is filed under the name uncultured bacterium. RNAcentral's name for it is "partial 16S ribosomal RNA". It matches the Rfam family "Bacterial small subunit ribosomal RNA", at positions 524 to 776 of the family's 1533-position model. The record is from RNAcentral.
UACGUAGGGGGCUAGCGUUGUCCGGAAUCAUUGGGCGUAAAGAGCGCGUAGGCGGCCAGAUAAGUCCGGUGUGAAAGUCAAAGGCUCAACCUUUGAAUGCCGCUGGAAACUGUCUGGCUAGAGUCCGGGAGGGGCGAGUGGAAUUCCUGGUGUAGCGGUGAAAUACGUAGAUAUCUGGAGGAACACCGGAGGCGAAAGCGGUCCACUGGGCAACUUCUGACGCUGAGGUGCGAAAGCUAGGGUAGCAAAUGGG